Trachemys scripta elegans is the source of this 1440-nucleotide long non-coding RNA. RefSeq lists it as uncharacterized. The record is from RefSeq and is a predicted model, not a curated record. The transcript has 3 exons. Lineage: Eukaryota; Metazoa; Chordata; Testudines; Emydidae.
CAGACAAAGAGAUGUAUGCAAACAGUUUGGAGUAUAAAAGCACACCGGGCAACGAACCAUUGUUGUCCCCUCGAGCCCUUUAGGGCGGGCAACAGUUUUGGCGUCCCUGGGUGGGCUCGAGGCUGAAAUUUAGCCUUGCCCGGAUCCCUCCUGGUGGCCGAUGGAUUACGACGACGACCAACGCCCAGAGCUCACCGGUGACUUCAUCGGGGGCCUCGGCAGAGACGUGGUUUGCUCGACCCCGGAGGGCACAACGGUGCAACGCACACAGACAGUGGAGAAGCAGCUGCGGGCGACGGUGGGGAACCGGUCCCGUUGAUAGGGCGACGGUGACGGUGCAGAACCGGACCUUUGGAUAAGGUACACCAAAAAUUCACAGCCUCUUCUGCUAAAUACCCCGGGUCCACUCCCUGCAGCCUAAUAACUCCGUUCUCGUACAAACCUGAAAGAACAAGCCUCUCCAAGAAAAGUGAAAGGAACCCCACACCAUCCUGCUUGUCACCCAUACAGCGGCAAAGGUCAAAAAACACAAAAACUAAAUUCAUCACUCUCAACUAAAAGCAGUGCCCACUCCUAAACAGUGAACUGUCCAGCCUGCGGAGAAGACUGCUAACAACAAUUUGAAACUUAAGCUGUUAUUCAAAAAACAGUAAGGGUCACUAAAAAUGCGUUGUAAUCUUUCUAAACAGUCAGAGCAUACUCCCCGCAAAAACCCUGAGCAUUGGUUUUAUUUUCUCACAAAAGGCCAACCUGGCCUAUGUAUUUGGUCUUGUUAUUUUUUAACUUGUUUGGUGUCAACAAUUCUUCUUAUCUUCUGGGUAUUUGGGUUGUUGUAGUUGUAUGUGCCCUUAUUAAAAAAAGUGUUGUACCUAUGUCCCAAAGUUUUCACAGAACAUUAACAAGCACAUCUUGUCAGCUAAACGGGCCUUUAACCAGUAAAAGCCCCCCCCCCAAAAAAAACCCCACUAUUUUAAAUUCCCUAUGGGGUUGGCUACCUGGUUUAGGAAAACUAGUGGGUAUAAGGAAAAGCAUUGUUCGCAUCUUGCUCACAGGUGUGGUAAUAUGUUUUGUUCUUGUUCUUUUGCUCAUUUGCUGUAAAGUGCUCAUAUGUAAAAUUUGUACGUCCCCCUUCCCAAAGGUUCCUUUAUAUUCUCUUAUUAAUAAUCCUAAUUGCAUAAAGCUUAAUCGCAUUCUGUCUUUAAAGUAUAAAAAAACUCUAACAAAGGUUUGUUAAGUAUUCUCAAAGAAGAAAUUGUUGGGGUCCACUAGGCAUAGCUACGAGGUAACUCGAAAAAGUAAAAGGCCAAAAGUGCCAAUAAAGCUCUUUUGCUCUGGGUCUGUAAACCACAGUAACUCCAUCUUAAAAACUCUCACCUACUUCUAUGCUAACUGCUUACAUGCUCUAAAGUAGGCUAAAGCAAAAAUGUAAUGUCAGCUUUU